This 9761-nucleotide long non-coding RNA is filed under the name Lynx pardinus (Iberian lynx). The record is from RNAcentral. Lineage: Eukaryota; Metazoa; Chordata; Mammalia; Carnivora; Felidae.
CCGGGCCUUCAGACAACAGUGUGGCCGGAAUGUCCGUGCACCGCGCGCGCAGCUCAGGUCUCCAGGGCCGCCCUGCCCGGGCUCCUCCAUCCCGUAGACCAAUCCUUCCCACCACCUGCAAGGUCAGUCCCACCACCUGCAAGGUCAACGAAUCACUCCAGCAUCCCGCAGGGGCAGGAAGAGCUGUGAUGAGGGCCCCUCCUUGGGGUCGGUCGGCACAUGGCCAAGGGCGGGGGGUCAGAGAGUGGGAUGGUCCUCGUGGCUCUGGAUGGGGCUGUACCUGCCGGAGAGCCUUGAUGACGAGGGGCCGGGAGGGCACGUGCAGAGGGCAGCUGGCGAGGCAGCCCCAGACCUGGGACGGCUAGAUGGUCGCCGCGGGAGGUGGCUCUGCUGAAGGCUGCCGGAUGUGGGGGCCAGCUGCACCUCCCUUUCCGUCUUCUCUCUCGCGUCGUCUGGUUCCCGGGGCCUUCCUUGCUCCCCCACCCACGGGGCGUGCUUACGUUUUACAGGCUGUGUACACGGGUACUGGGCGCGGACGAGCGCUCCGACCCGGGCCAUAGGCCCCAGGCCAGCUGCUCCAGGUGCCGGCCGAGACCUCCUGCUCCUGAGACACAGGCUGCCUCUGUUGAGCCCGCCCUGCUUCCCGCCGUGGGCCUGGACAGCCCAGGGUGAGGGACGCCGGUUGGCCAGGACAGGGCACGGCGUGGCACCAGCAGCCUGGAGGGGCAGGAGCAGGGCCGGGUUACGCUGGGGAGGACCACGUGAGCCUGCCAGGCCAGCCUCACCCUGCGCGCCCCUACGUGCUGUCACCCACGCGUGGGACAGCCACCGGUCGCGUGGGAGCAGCAGGGGGACUGGGUGGGGUCAUCGCAGGGAGCUCCGGGGGUGAGGGUGUGGGGCUGACAGAGUCCUCCGUUUGUGCCCCUUGUCCCAGCCCCUGGGAUGGGACCGGCCCUUCCUGACUCGGGGAGCUGGCCCGACCACAAGCAUGACAGGAAGGAAGGCAGGAAGGAAGGCAGGAGUGAAGCAGGUGUUUAUGCGCUCGUGGGAAGGGAAAUGGUCCUGAGCCAGUGGUGUGUGACAGUCACUGGGUUUGCCCUUUUGGUGGCACCAAGUGAGGAGCUGGGAAGAAAGGGACCAUUUAGAGUCAGCUGGGGGGGGGGCGUGUGGGCCCCCCCACAUUUCCUCUUCUUGAGGAGAGACCUGAGUCCUGGAGGGCACUGCUUCUCGGGGUCCCACUGCCCCCCGCCUCUCGCCCCUGGCCAGGAGGAGUCCCGGCAUGUGGGGCUCUGAUGGCCCAGAAGAGGACAGACCUCGGACUCAGGGCCGCGGACCGCUGGCCUGCACUUCCUCCGGAGAGAUGGAAGCUCCCCGGCUACCGGGGAGCAACGGGGGUCUUUUUCUGUUGGGUCUCGUGAUGACUUUUGGCAACCCCCAAAAGCGAGUUUCCAAGUAGACUGAACAAUUAGUCACUUCCAUUCACGUGUGCCUGCUCAGAAUGUCACCACCAGCUGUGUCCCCCGAUAAGGGCUGAGUCCUGCUGGCAGUCAGAGACCACUGGGCGGGGAUGGCUGGGCUGUGGCACCCUGGCCUACUGGGACCCUGGGAGGUGUCACGAUGCCCCGGGGAGAGCAGAGGGUGCUAGGGACCCCUGGGCAGAGCAGAGGGCGCUAGGGACCCCUGGGCAGCAGCCUGGUGGAGGAAGUGGGCACCAGAGGGCGCGGCUGACGGAGAGGGUGUGACACGGGCCAGGCAGGGGCUUAGCGAGGCUGGGCUCUCUGCAGCGGCAGUCGGGGUCUCCAAUGGACAGCAGCUCGGCUGGUGGACUCUGAGUGGCUGUGCAGAACCAUGGAGACAGGAAGGGAGCUGCCCUCUGACCUUUGCUGCCUUGAGGAUGCACCCACUUACAAUGGCUCCCCGCCUCUUGAUGGCGACACUUGGGGAAGUCGCUUUGAGUCUCUCACGUCAGCUCAAUAAGCUGUUUGUUCUCUUGUCCUACAAAGAACCUGGGCCCAAGACCACCCCCGGGGAUUGCUCUAGUAUGGAGUGUCUGAAACGCAGCCUCGGUCUGGCUCUGCGGCACGCUCAGUGGGAUUCUGGAAGCUUCCCCCCCACCAGCCUAGGCCUGGUUCCCAAUCCAGAGCAGCUGGGCUCUGAGUCUCAGCUACAGGGCGCCCUUGCUCCCCACGCCUGGCAGGCUGCCCCUCGGGGCCGGAGCCGGGUGGAGUUCGCAGGACACAGAAAACAUGGGUGCCAUUAUUCUGCAAAGGCGGUCCUCGCCGCGCCCACCCCCGCCUCUCCCCAAACCCCUGCUGGGGGCAGUGGACUUCAAGGAGAAGCUCCUUGGCAGAGUGCUCCGCUCAGCAAGCCCUUUGAUCAGCCAGAGGUCUGGGCAUGCCUGUCGUAGCCGAGGCCGGGGGCGGGGCAGCCGUGCGAGGCUCGGUCACCCCCUCGGGGCCGCGGGCCGCAGCUGCAGGAGAUGCUGCUGGGGGCGCUUUCCCAGGUCUGAGCCCACACCCAGCUGGAGGACGGGGCCCACACACUCAGCUCUGGCCUGGGGCCGGGAGUGGUUUUCCCUGGGCUGCCUUGCUCUCUCUGGCUCCUUGGCCCGGCUCCUGGAGGAAGGGGAGGCCCAGACACAGAGCACCAGGCGCAGGCUGACAUGUCGGGACCGAGCGCUCCCGGGGCCCGGUGCGCGGAAACGCGUGCGCGGCCCCCUUGGGCGCCGGAGCCCCGCGAGCUCGGUGCGUUCCUGCUCGGCUGCCUGCUCUCCCUCUCGUGGCUUCGGCCUGCCCCCCUCCCUGCCCCCCUGCCCUCCUGGGCUUCUCAGUCUUUUCCCUCUCCAGCCUGUGUGGCCAGGCCGGCUGCUCCGACGCCAACUUCAGUCAAAAGCCGCAGCGACUUGGCCCGCGGAGCAGACGGAGCAGGAGGGCCCUUAGCCGCUGUGCGUCCGGGCCCGGCCCACUCCCUGCCCCCCCCGGCUGAACUGACCGGUCCAGUAAACUAACCCAACCUCUUCCCCCUCCCAGGACGUCGCCGGCCCACCCCCAGAACCUUCCUCUAAUCUUCGGGCAAGCCUGAGAGGUUGCUUCCAGUUCAAGAGGCUCGGAGCUGAGGGCCUUGUGUGCACGCAGAUGUGACUCCUGAGACCUCCCGGGGAAGUCACUCUGCUGGGUGAGGCCUUCCCCUGUCCCUCUGUCACCCUUCCCAAGGUGUGGACCAGCCUGUCCCCAGGGCGUGCUCAGUGCCCGAGACACAGAGCGGUUUCCGGGGCGCAGAUGAGCUCAAGGUGCCCGGUGCAGGACUUACUUCUGGAUGAGCUGGUUGACGACAGGUGCUGCCCACGCACUGGGCCCUGUCCCCCCGGCACCGUGGUGACCAGGGGUCCACCACGAGGCUGGAAACCUGGUUUCCACUUGUCGUUUUAAAGAAGAAACAGAUCCUGCCUUGGUUGGCAGCUCCUGAGCAGGGGCGGGGGUCUGUGCACCCGGCCCAGGAGGCUCCAGGCCCGUCUUGGGUCAGGGUCCGGGGUCCGGUGCGGACACGUGGUACUCAGACCCGCCCGGACUGUGUGAGGCUGGCUGGGGCAGAGCGGGGCUGGGGUGUGGGGAGGAAAUCAGGGGCUGCAGAAGGAAGACACUUCUGCUCAGGGGGGACCCACCAGAGUCCAAGGGGCAGGGUCUCGCCACCUCGGCAGAUGGGGACAAAUCCCGACGUGGACCGUGGGGGGCAGGCACCGACAGGUGGGGCCGAGAGGAGAUCCCAGCCCUCUGGCGGCUGAGGGGAAGCACCAGGUCCCCCUGUGUGUUUCUCUGUGCGGCAGUAAAAUCCUGCUGCGUGGGAGGGGACAUCUGAUGGCCCACAUGAGCAGCCCCACCCCAGGGAAACAGGGCUGAGCUGGGGAGUGGGACCCCGGAGGCCGGCAGGAGGAGGGGCUGGUCUUCUCGAGACGGGGGGGGGCUGGCCGCUGGCCUCAGAGGCAGGGGAGAGUGUGGGGGCGGGCGGGCCGGGUGGGUGCAGCCGAAGGCGAGGGAAGGUUCAGGGCCCUGGCACUGCUCGUGGGCAGCUGUGCGUCCCCACAGCACAGCAGGAACAUCGCCAAGGACGAAGGAGGCACAGAGCUGAGGAACUGAGUGACAGAGGAGAGGCUGGUGACCACAGUCCGUUGGGUCAGCUCUAGGGGAGCAGGAUAGGGCCAUGGCCGGUCCUUGCGGGAGAGGGACAGGCCCUGGAAGCGGAGCGGCCCCUCCCCAGAGGCACCCGCCCUUCCGUGAGGGUCUGAGCGCCCUCUGAGCACCCACCCUUCCGUGAGGGUCUGGAAAUGGUGUUCCCUGGAAGGGGAGAGACGGGCAGCUCACCCCUCUCGAGGGCCCCCUGAGGCGAGGGCUCGGCCCGGUCUGGCCAGGGAGAGACGGAGCCGGAGGAGGGAGCUGGGGGUGCCGGCCCGCUGUGCCCGAAGCCUCGGCCCGGGAACCUCUCAGGGGGCUGGCCUUGUAGGGAGAUCAGGUGGCUCAGUGGCAGGCGGAGGGCCUUCCAAGGAGGCACAUGGAGCGGGGGCGGGGUCGGCCAGUGAGGGUGGAACCAGGCUGAGGCCGAGAGCGUGCAGGUGCUCCUCACCCUACAAAUACGGCGCCCCUCCCCGCCUUGGGGCCCACGCCCUGCCUGCCCUCCCGCCUUGCUGCUGCCUGACUGCUGGUGAUCGGCUGGGCCACCCCGGCAGCCCCCUCCGCCUCCUGCUGCCUCUGCCUCCAUUUUCUUACAGGGAAAAUGGGCAGAAGACAAGGUUGUUCCCUGAUUAACCAAAUAAUCUUAUACAAACAAGGAGAACUGAGGAACUCACACUCCCCAAUUUAAGAACUUACUGCGUAGCUACAAAACAAGUCAAACGGCACGAUGCUGGCCUAAGGUUUACCUUGGUCUGUAGGUUUACAGACCCACAGGAAGAUGGAAAUAAACCCGAAUACGUCGGUGGCCAACUGAUUCCCAGUAAGGGAGCCCAGACCGUUCAAUGACAAAAAGUCCUUCAACAGAUGGUGCUGGGCCCCUACCUCACACCGCACACAAAAAUGAACUCAGAGUGGAUCAAAGACCCACAUGGAAGGAGUCAAAACUAUGAAAGUCUCAGAAGAAAACGCUGGGGGGGCUCCUCGCCGCCUUGGACUUGGUGAGAGGUUCUUGGCUACGACACCAAGGCACAGGCAGUCAAGAAAAAACUGGAUAAAUUGGACUCUGUCGACAUUAAAAACUUCUGGGCAUCGACAGAGUGUAUAGACGGCCCACGCUCGGGAGAGGCCGUCUGCGGAUUAUAUCCCUGAUAGAGACCUCGUGUCAGGAUAUAUAAUGAACUCUCACAGCUCAGCAACAAAAGGUCAAGAAUGGACGGAGGACCCGAACAGGAACUCUUCCCAAGAAAACGUGCAAAUGGCCAACAAGCACGUGAAAAGAGGGAAACGCAACUCAAAACCACGCUGAGAUGCCCGCGAGGAUGCCUAGAAUGGGGCGGAAACUAGCGAGUGCUGGCCAGGACGUGGACAACGUGGAACGCCUGGGCACGGCGGGCGGGAGCACGGGACGGGACGGCCACUCUGGAAAACGGGUUGGUGGAUCCCGGAGAGUAAAACGUCGAAUGCUCAUUUGAUGAAGCUUCUCCACCCCUACGUACACACCCAGAGAACCGAAACCAGGGCUCCAGACAAACACUUGUACACAAAUGUUCACAGCAGCUUUAUACACAGCGGUCGCAAAGAGGAAAGGACCCAAGUGCCCGUCGCCUAAAGCAAAGGUAAGUGAAGUGGGGUCCGUCCCCACAAUGGAGUAUUAUUCAGCCACUAAAAGGAAUGAUGUUCUGACGCUCUCCGUGGCGGGGUGAACCUUGAGAUUGUUAUGCUCGGUGAAAGAAACCAGACACAAAAGCCGCAUUGUGUGAUUCCACUUACAGGAAAAGUCCGGAACAGGCAAUCCACGGAGACAGAAGGCAGAUCAGUGAGGCCAGGAGCGAGGGGGAGGGAGAAGCCAGGAGCAACCGCUAAUGGGCGAGGGCUUUCUUUCUUUUUGGGGGAUGAAAAUGGUUCACAACCGGACAGAGGUGUCGAUGGCACAACACUGUGAACGCGCUAAAUGCGCUGAAUGGUACGUUUUCAAAUGGUUCGUUUUAUGUUCUGUGGAUUUUACCUCAAUAACAAAACGGAGCAAAAGAAAACCAGGUUGUUUGGAAGUGUCAAUUGGAUUAAUUCUUUUUUCUUUCCAGUUUAUUUAUUUAUUUUGAGAGACACAGAGAGAGAGAGAGAGAGAGAGAGAGAGAGAGAGAGCAGGGGAGGGGCAGAGAGAGAGAGAAAGAGAGAGAGAGAAUCCCAAGCAUGGAGCCUGACUCGGGGCUUGAACUCCCGAAUCGUGACAUCGUGACCUGAGCUGCAAUCGAGAGUCAGACGCUUAACCGACAGAGCCACCCAGGGGCCCCUCGACUGGAUUAAAAUGUUGACACCCUGCCGGGCCCUGACGUUCUCGCUGUGGUCAUGACGAGUGCCGUCCAGAAUGCCCACAGCCUGGGGCGCCAGAGUCAGGGGAAGGAGCAGCCUUAGGGUGUCCUCACUUUAACUUCAGGCCCGGGUCAGACCACACUUGUCACGGUGACGCUGGAGUUUGUCCCUGGGAAGCCUGGGGCUGCGGUGAGAGCAGGAGCCUCUCUGGAGGGUCCCCUGGGAGGGGUGGGAGUCGGGGGAGGAAGUUCCCCCGGGGAAGCGGAGCUUCUCCAACUCAGAGACGAGGGCCAGGGGCUGUGUGUUUAGUGUCCCGUCCACGACCCCUGGAUUGCCACUUUUGUGGUGUGCAAGAGCCACGCCCUCACGACGUCGAAUUGCCGUGGAAGCUCCCACGCACCGACUCAGUGCGUCGCCCACCAGCACGGGGAGGGCAUGGGCCGCACAGGGCAGGGCGGGAGUGCUCGAGGGGAGCCGGCCCCGGUGUCGGUUAAUUUGUUCGUCUCGCCUGCAAGCCGGCAGCCCGGCCCGGGCAGGGCCACGUGUGUGUGUGGCUGCGGUCCAUCCAGCCCCUAUCCCUGACCCCACCUCUGGCUCCUGGGCUCGGGAACUCGCAGUGGGGGAGGGGGCAGGGGGGACAGUCCCCUUCGCCCAGGCUUGACUCAGCCCCACCUUAGCACCCGAGUGACCAUACCUGGACAUUUUGCCAUGUGCCCCGGUCCGGGCUACCACGAAGACCGCGGUUGGCUGGUGUCCCGGAGCCUCUCCUGUGCGGGCAGGACGCGCCCCUUGGGGCCGGGUUCAGAACCAGGCUCUAGUGGGACGCAGACAACGUGUCCCGCCUCUAACAGAAGAGUGGGUCACCGGCCGGUGUGCUUUCUGACCCCCCUCGGUGCCCCAGGAGGACCCCCCCCGCCCCGGGCGGCCGCUUCGUCCGGCCUCAGGCUCCUUCCCACCCUGCCUGCACAUUUUCCGGAAGGAGCCAUUCUGGACGAAUGGCCAACUCUACAGCUGCGCCUUCAAGCCGUCAGGAAUCGGGCAUCGCAAUUUAAUUGCGGUGUGGAAAACACGCAGCGACCUCCCAUGCCGGCCACGUCCCGCUCCCGGGGUUCGAAACAGCCAGAGCGAGGCGCAGGUGCUGUGCCGAGUGGACCCGGGCGCUGGGGUGGCAGGACGCGGACGGGCUAGUGGGAGGGCUUGCAGCCCUGGGGCUUACAUGUCAACACGCUCGAUCUGAGCCCACGAGGGGGCCGUCCAGUCAGGAGGCUCAGCUCGCCGCGCCUUGGGGUGGGGGACCAUGCGCCGCAGCCCCUGUCAGAGACGGCGGAGGCGCUGGGGAAGGAGGGGGCCGAAGUGGCUGAAGACGGCUGCCCUCAGGCAAGAUCUGGUUUGUGUGACCAACAAACCAGAAAGUUUCCCAGAAACUUAAAGGUACCCAAACCCCAAAACCCUAGUAACUCACGUAUACGUGACGUUAAAACGAAACUCCACGUUCAGAAGUAUAUGAAAAAUCAUCAUCAACAUCAUCAUCAUCAUCAUCAUAAAGUCCCUGUAUACACUCUCAAAUCACACCCUCCAUCCAGAAUGAUGGAGGCUAACACUGCAGGCGUGCCCGUCUAGAACUGUCUCUGGGUUCUUAUGUGGGCACAUCUGUUCGGGUUGAUUGAGCACAUUGUUGUGCAGCUUUUUUUUUUUUUUUUUUUUUGUAAACCGAACUGUAAGUCCCAGCGGUCUUUCCACGUCUGUAACAAGAUCCCCUUGUUACUUUCAAUCUAGUGCCUGUCUUCUGCAAAGCGGCUGCAUUUUCCGUCUGUGGAACCACGCCUCUGCUCAAGAGCGUGGUUAUUUCAAACAAAAUGACAUUAAAACCGCACCAUGGCUUUGUGUGAGCACACGUGACAGGUUCUAUAGGAGAGACGCUCAGAGACACGUCUGCUGAGACGUGGGACGGGGGCUUUAAUAGUUUCCACGGAUGCGGCCACAGGGCACCGGGUCAGGGCGGCACCUGUUCACAGAUGUGGUGGUUCUUUGCUACCUGGAGACGAGAGGUGCUGUCUCGGGAGGGUGCGUGUGCUUCCCGAGGCGUGUUCUCACAGACUCACGGCCUCUGUUGUGUUUCCCGGUGGCCGGUGCAUUCAGGCACGUCACCAUUUUUCACCUUCGCUGUUUUCGUAUUGAUUUUUGAGGAGCUCUUUAUGGAUUAAAGAUCAGGCUCUUGCCUGGAAAUCUGGGUUGAAGCUCUCCCUCCCCCUCCCCCACUGAUGAAAUGCCAGUAAAUACACAAUCCAACACACGCGCGUCUAUUUCUGGGCCCUUAUCCUUGGAUUUCUGUGUAUAUUUCUGUCUGGGCUGAGACCACACUGAUGUGAACGCUAGUUUUACAGGACGUGUAUUGCUUAGUUCUGAACGUUUCUUGGCUCUCUUCAUUCAAAUGUUCUCCGUCCUAAGAACGUUGGGUUCAGCCUGUCAGAUCCCAUAAACAGCAGAAGAGAAUUGCCCUGAUUCUGUAGAAAAGUUCUAGAACUGCUUUCUUUCCCCUCAAAAUUGAGAAUUCUUUGUAUUUCACAUUUCUCCCUUUAUUCAUUUUUUAUUGCUUUUCAGUAAAGUUUUAUAAUUUUCAUCAUCUAGGCUCUUAUUUAUUUAUUUUUUAAUGUUUAUUUAUUUUUGAGAGGCAGAGAGAGAGCGCAAGCAAGGGGGGGUGAAGAGAGAGGGAGACACAGAAUCCGAAGCAGGUUCCAGGUCUGAGCUGUCAGCCCAGAGCCCGACGUGGGGCUCAGACCCACGAACUGUGAGAUCAUGACCUGAGCCGAAGUCGGAUGCUUAACUGACUCAGCCCCCAGGCGCCCCAUUUUUCAUUGUCUAGGCUUUUAAAUUAUUGGGUUUAUUUUUAGAAGUUUUGGGCUUCUAGGAACAGUAUUUUUGACAAUGUAUUUCCAUUGGUUGUUGCUGUGUGCAGGACAGUUAGUGACUAUUGAAGAUUGAUUUUUUCCCUCACAAUCUGAUUAGAUUCUUUUUUCCUUUUUUUUUCCCCCAGGUAGGCUCUGUGCCCACUGUGGGGCUCCAACUCACGACCCUGAGAUCAAGACUUGCAUGCUCUGUGGACCGAGCCAGCGUGGCACCCCACUUAUCUCACGAAUUCUAACAGGAUUUCAGUUGACUAUCUAUUAGCCACAACUUAAUCUUUUAAUUUCCAAAUAUUUACGUCUUCUAUUUCUUUUUAAAUACAUUAUUAUCUUGACUGGCACCUCCAGUAGAAUGUUGGUAGAUGAUGAAGUAUUUUAAAAC